CAGUAAAAUCAGUAAAAGUUCAUGAAAUGCCAAAGCAACCAAAAGGAUUCACCCCCUUAUUUAUCAAUUGUCAUUUGGUAAAUAUAGCAUUAAUUCGUGUA
RNAcentral lists this non-coding RNA (101 nucleotides) under Corethron hystrix. Lineage: Eukaryota; Bacillariophyta; Corethrophyceae; Corethrales; Corethraceae. The record is from RNAcentral.